CCUCCGCCCCACCUAUAAGUUUACGUGUUUAACUUUAAUUAUCUAUCUUAUUUAAAAUUUUUUAAUUACUAUUUUUAUUAUUAUUAGAUGAUAAAACAUGAAUGAUAAUUUAUACGUGACUUAUGUUUUUAAUUUUUUUAAAAAAACUUUUUCAAAUAAUAUGGACGAUUAAAGUUAUACACGAAAAUUCAUAACUGCGUUUAAA
Molecule: non-coding RNA, 205 nt
Organism: Oryza meridionalis
Lineage: Eukaryota; Viridiplantae; Streptophyta; Magnoliopsida; Poales; Poaceae
Source: Rfam